This 675-nucleotide long non-coding RNA is filed under the name Aedes aegypti (yellow fever mosquito). RNAcentral's name for it is "lncRNA AAEL027695". Lineage: Eukaryota; Metazoa; Arthropoda; Insecta; Diptera; Culicidae. The record is from RNAcentral.
UUUUGUAUUUUUAUUACAUACACUCAGAAAUAAUAGAAAUCAUAAGCGGUUUAAAACUCAUACAUUUUUGUCAUACUUAAAGAAUACACUAGGCUCAGUUUAAGUGGUAUACAUUUUUGGUAUAAUAAACUAAACUAAGCUGGACUUCCACAAAACUAUUUUUAUCAGUGUAUUUUAGCGACCGCAGAUGUUCACAAAAACAAAAAUGUCGGUGAAGACGGCUUGACUCGCGAAAUUCGUUUCAUUAAUUUGUCUACUAUUCGAUUAACUAUCAUUAGAAAAUUCUCAAAAGUGGACUGCUUUUCAUUAGAAAUUGCGAAUCAAUCGAAUGGCGAAUGGCUAGGAACUGUUUGGUAGAAAAGCUCGAAAACACCGAGUGUCUGCACGUGCAAAACGGAAACAGCGUCAUGGAGUACUACUUCAAUGCAGAAAACACGGUCCAGAAAGCAGAAACAUGAGAAGAAUCCAUCAUUUCGGAUCUGGAUGCUAUUGAAUAUUUGCAGGAUAAUUAAAUACGAGCGGCUCGGAAGUUUUGUGAACGGCAGACUACGCAGAAUCAAAAUUUUAGUUAUCUGAAAUAAGGCAUGGGUCUUAAUGUUAAGUGCAAACUACUGAUUUCAUUUCCAUGUGUUUUAAAGAUAAUAAAAUAAAAACGGGGAGUUUGAUUUUUUUCAA